CUCCUACGGGAGGCAGCAGUGGGGAAUAUUGGGCAAUGGAGGCAACUCUGACCCAGCAACGCCGCGUGGAGGAUGACGCAUUUCGGUGUGUAAACUCCUUUUUUGUGGGAAGAUAAUGACGGUACCAUAAGAAUAAGCAUCGGCUAACUCCGUGCCAGCAGCCGCGGUAAUA
This 172-nucleotide ribosomal RNA is filed under the name Alvinella pompejana symbiont APG1Bstab2. Its description in RNAcentral is "partial 16S ribosomal RNA". It matches the Rfam family "Bacterial small subunit ribosomal RNA", at positions 336 to 525 of the family's 1533-position model. Lineage: Bacteria; Pseudomonadati; Campylobacterota. The record is from RNAcentral.